GGGCUCGUAGUAUAGUGGCUAUUACGUCCCGUUGACGUCGGGAAGGUCACCAGUUCGAAUCUGGUCGGGCCCA
Molecule: transfer RNA, 73 nt
Filed under: Candidatus Woesearchaeota archaeon
Lineage: Archaea; Nanobdellati; Candidatus Woesearchaeota
Description: tRNA-Val
Rfam family: tRNA
About the family: Transfer RNA (tRNA) molecules are approximately 80 nucleotides in length. Their secondary structure includes four short double-helical elements and three loops (D, anti-codon, and T loops).
Source: RNAcentral